GACGAACGCUGGCGGCGUGCCUAAUACAUGCAAGUUGAGCGCUGAAGGUUGGUGCUUGUACCAACUGGAUGAGCAGCGAACGGGUGAGUAACGCGUGGGGAAUCUGCCUUUGAGCGGGGGACAACAUUUGGAAACGAAUGCUAAUACCGCAUAAAAACUUUAAACACAAGUUUUAAGUUUGAAAGAUGCAAUUGCAUCACUCAAAGAUGAUCCCGCGUUGUAUUAGCUAGUUGGUGAGGUAAAGGCUCACCAAGGCGAUGAUACAUAGCCGACCUGAGAGGGUGAUUGGCCACAUUGGGAGUGAGACACGGCCCAAACUCCUACGGGAGGCAGCAGGAGGGAAUCUUCGGCAAUGGACGAAAGUCUGACCGAGCAACGCCGAGUGAGUGAAGAAGGGUGUCGGAUCGUAAAACUCGGUUGGUAGAGAAGAACGUUGGUGAGAGUGGAAAGCUCAUCAAGUGACGGUAACUACCCAGAAAGGGACGGCUAACUACGUG
This 497-nucleotide ribosomal RNA is filed under the name uncultured bacterium. RNAcentral describes it as "partial 16S ribosomal RNA". It matches the Rfam family "Bacterial small subunit ribosomal RNA", at positions 28 to 507 of the family's 1533-position model. The record is from RNAcentral.